CCUUCAACCCUUCUCAGUUGGUACAUACAGUUGCAUCGCUUUCUCUUCCAUGACCUCUCACUGUCUCUCUCCUCUCCCCUUGUAAGUGCUGGGCAAGCUCACAAGCUAUAGACACUGGGCCACAACCAACUAUAGCGCAUCGGUCUCUUGGAAAGCCUGAAGAUCAAAUCCCCUUCAACUCCCCAAAAGAUUUCCUGACCCAAAAUCUCCAUCUGCUGCAGCCUCUGCAUACACACACUGCCAAGUCUCCAUGACCGGCCCCUGAGGCAGCUAGCUGAUCGCUCGCCUUUUUAUUCAUCGCUGCACCACCUCACACAAACACGCACAAAGGUGACCGGCACUUGAGUUGGGAGAGAAGCUGGGCCUUUCCUCCUUGGUGCUGCUGGCUACCUAGCUCGUUUUCUCGUGUGAAGCUAGCCGAACGGAAGGCAUGAUGAAGCUCUGCACCGUUGCGAUGGAGAGGAGGAGCUACGUGAUAGCCAUGCCUUCUAAGCGAGAGGUGUUCAGAUGGCUCGAAGGCCUGAGGAUGCGUAGACGCUGGCCUUUGGGAGCAUCAAUACAGCUUGUUCACGCUUAGCUAUAUCACGGUGUUAUCCUGAUUGAGCUUUUUAUCUAAAUCAUAUCCUCAUUCUUCUUCAUAUUCUUCAUAUUGCAUUUGUUAAGAUUUUACAAGGUUAGGUCUUCUUGACCUUGCAAGACUUUUUCUUGACCUUGUAAGACCCAAAUUUGCAAUCUUUCUUUUCUUUGUCUCCAUCUUCUAAGUCCGCCUUCUUUAUCUUUCCAUCUUGCCCUUUCACCCUCAUUAUUGCUUUCUUCCUCUGUCUAUCCCUUCUGAGCUGUGUUGAGCUAUGUUCACAAAUUUAGUUAUAGAUUUAAGUAUUCAAAUAAUACAGUGAUGUUCAGUGAGAAGUGAAUGGUGUGGUGAUUCUCCCAUGUAUUGGUGUCAAUUCAUUGUGUAAAACCAUCUUUUCCACAAUAUAUUUUGUUUGGAUUGUAGAGUGCAGUAGACGAGACACAAAAGCAUGUUCCUGUUGCGCCAUGAUGCUCAGACAUGUGAAGUAGGAGUCUAUUUGUAAGCUUGCUUCAUAUGUACCCCAUGAAUGGAAAAGUUCACUG
Molecule: long non-coding RNA, 1116 nt
Organism: Phragmites australis (common reed)
Lineage: Eukaryota; Viridiplantae; Streptophyta; Magnoliopsida; Poales; Poaceae
Exons: 3
Source: RefSeq, a predicted model, not a curated record